CACGUAGGGUGCGAGCGUUGUCCGGAAUUAUUGGGCGUAAAGAGCUCGUAGGCGGUGUGUCACGUCGGCCGUGAAAACCUGCAGCUUAACUGUGGGCGUGCGGUCGAUACGGGCAUCACUGGAGUUCGGCAGGGGAGACUGGAAUUCCUGGUGUAGCGGUGAAAUGCGUAGAUAUCGGGAGGAACACCAGUGGCGAAGGCGACUUCCUGGCCUGUUCUUGACGCUGAGGCGCGAAAGCUAGGGUAGCAAACGGG
This 254-nucleotide ribosomal RNA is filed under the name uncultured bacterium. RNAcentral's name for it is "partial 16S ribosomal RNA". It matches the Rfam family "Bacterial small subunit ribosomal RNA", at positions 524 to 776 of the family's 1533-position model. The record is from RNAcentral.